GUUCGGCCCCUUGAACGACUAUGCAUCAUAACCCAAAGUUGAAAUUCAAACUAUCAGAGUAAUAAAUUUUGCAAAAUUUGAAUUUUUUGAAGCAUUUUUUGACGCACAACUGUAUAAAUACUCUGGAAAAGAAUUGUCAAGUUCACAAUUUUUAUAAUUACGCUUUUGGCGCAUUUAAUGCUAAAUUGUUGCGUUUAAUUGAGAAAGGAAAAAUGGGAUACGGUUAUUUGAUGAACGUUUUAGUUAUACCAAUGUUGGUUUUUGGCCAAUUGGACGUGUUCUCUGAAGCUGAGGAGGAAGCACAUCUCUAUGUAAAGUCUGAUAUCGCCAAAAAAUUAUUAAAUGCUGUUCAAAAAUUUGGAUCUUCCCAAAAUGGCAAUGAUGAUGAUGAUGAUGAUGAUGGUGAUGGUGAUGGUGAUGGUGAUGGUGGUGGUGGUGAUGAUGGUGAUGAUGGUGAUGAUGAUAGUGGUGGUGGUGGUGAUGAUGAUGAUGAUGAUGAUGAUGAUGAUGAUGAUGAUGAUGAUACUGGUGAUGAUGAUACUGGUGAUGAUGAUACAGGUGAUGAUGAUACUGGUGAUGAUGGUGAUGGCGAUGAUGAUGAUGAUGACGAUGACGAUGACGACAGUGAUGAUGAUGAUGAUGACAAUGAUGGCGAUAAUGACGGUGACAACAAUGACAACGAUGACAACAACUCAGUGUGUUGAUUUUCCAUCCAACUCGUGGUGAUGACAUUUGCUCGAGUUCGGCGUGAAUAAGCUGCGGAAAAUUCAUUAAAUCAAACAGACAUCUGAGGCAUCCAAAUCGCAAUAGUCAGCAAAAUUCUUCAAUAUUCUUUUUAAGUUUAAUUCACAAGUAUUCUCUUUCCUAAGGCCAUCUUUACGAAACACUCUGUUGUGGAGCUUAUUAUAAUUAUGUAGGUGGAGAUUAUAUCAUAGUAGAAAACCGUCUUUCCUAUCUAAUUAUCAAAUUCGUUAUUUUUGGAAAGUAGUUAUUGCCAAUUGAAGUUUGAGGGUUGCUUGUAAAUUAAUCAAAGUUGAGUGUUAAGGAGAAGGGUAAAAAAAUCAUUUAUUGCGGGCAAGUUGGGAGUAAAAUAGGUUGGCAGGUAGUUAAAACAAAAUCAAAGUUCGUAGUUUAAAUUGUUUUUCUUUAUUUUUUCAAUAGCUAUAAAUCGACGUAAAUAUUAGCAAAAUUAAAACAAUCUAUUGAAAAUAAUAGUGCAUGUUAAUUGAAUAAUAAUUAUCCUUAUUUAGACGUUGAUAUUGGAAAUUUUAGCAUUUCAUAAUGCCGUUACUAGAUAUACCUUUACUUUGUUCAAUUUUAUGUGUGAUAAUACAAAGUUUUCUAAUUCUAGUCAAAUACGUAUGGUACCACUUACUACCUACCUAGUUCUAAUUAUGCUUAGGUACUUUUAAAUUGAAUGUAUGUAAAAAAAAUCAAUCUUCAAUAUUUUACACCUUAGUAUCUACAAGUUGAAUUCAAGCUUUAAAAACAUAAUAAACUUUAUUUCAACGACAAUC
Molecule: RNA transcript, 1517 nt
Organism: Planococcus citri (citrus mealybug)
Lineage: Eukaryota; Metazoa; Arthropoda; Insecta; Hemiptera; Pseudococcidae
Gene name: aspartate and glycine-rich protein-like
Exons: 3
Source: RefSeq, a predicted model, not a curated record